GGCGGCGCGCCUAACACAUGCUAGUCGAACGAGAGAGAAGACGCUUGCUUCUUCGAUCGAGUGGCGAACGGGUGAGUAACGCGUGAGGAACCUGCCUCAAAGAGGGGGACAACAGGUGGAAACCACUGCUAAUACCGCAUAAGCCCACGGGUCGGCAUCGACCUGAGGGAAAAGGAACAAUCCGCUUUGAGAUGGCCUCGCGUCCGAUUAGCUAGUUGGUGAGGUAACGGCCCACCCAGGCGACGAUCGGUAGCCGGACUGACAGGUUGAACGGCCACAUUGGGACUGAGACACGGCCCACACUCCUACGGGAGGCAACAGUGGGGAAUAUUGCACAAUGGGGGAAACCCUGAUGCACCGACGCCGCGUGGAGGAAGAAAGUCUUCGGAUUGUCAACUCCUGUUGUUGACGAAGAUAAUGACGGUACUCAACGCGGAAGUGACGGCUAACUACCUGCCAGCAUCCGCGGAAAAACGUACGUCACAAGCGUUGUCCGGAAUUACUGGCUGUAAAGGGAGCGCACGCGGCAAGACCAGUUGGAAGUGAAAUCUAUGGGCUCAACCCCAUAAACUGCUUUCAAAACUGUUUUUCUUGAGUAGUGCAGAGGUAGGGGGGAAUUCCCGGUGUAGCGGUGGAAUGCGUAGAUAUCGGGAGGAACACCAGUGGCGAAGGCGGCCUACUGGGCACCAACUGACGCUGAGGCUCGAAAGUGUGGGUAGCAAACAGGAUUAGAUACCCUGGUAGUCCACACCGUAAACGAUGAUUACUAGGUGUUGGAGGAUUGACCCCUUCAGUGCCGCAGUUAACACAAUAAGUAAUCCACCUGGGGAGUACGACCGCAAGGUUGAAACUCAAAGGAAUUGACGGGGGCCCGCACAAGCAGUGGAGUAUGUGGUUUAAUUCGACGCAACGCGAAGAACCUUACCAAGUCUUGACAUCCCUUGACGAACAUAGAAAUAUGUUUUCUCUUCGGAGCAAGGAGACAGGUGGUGCAUGGUUGUCGUCAGCUCGUGUCGUGAGAUGUUGGGUUAAGUCCCGCAACGAGCGCAACCCUUAUGGUCAGUUACUACGCAAGAGGACUCUGGCCAGACUGCCGUUGACAAAACGGAGGAAGGUGGGGAUGACGUCAAAUCAUCAUGCCCUUUAUGACUUGGGCUACACACGUACUACAAUGGCGUUAAACAAAGAGAAGCAAGACCGCGAGGUGGAGCAAAACUCAGAAACAACGUCCCAGUUCGGACUGCAGGCUGCAACUCGCCUGCACGAAGUCGGAAUUGCUAGUAAUCGCGGAUCAGCAUGCCACGGUGAAUACGUUCCCGGGCCUUGUACACACCGCCCGUCACACCAUGAGAGCCGGGGGGACCCGAAGUCGGUAGUCUAACCGCAAGGAGGACGCCGCCGAAGGUAAAACUGGA
This 1415-nucleotide ribosomal RNA is filed under the name uncultured organism. RNAcentral describes it as "SSU rRNA". It matches the Rfam family "Bacterial small subunit ribosomal RNA". The record is from RNAcentral.